CCUUCACUAUCACUCGUUAUUCUACUGAUCAUGUGCGUAUUCACGGCAACCUUCGCAUAUCUCGCAAAUUGAGCAUAGCAACAUAGCUUGCCAAGUUUUGCGAGAUUUCGCUAAAUUUUGGCUGGGAUUCUUUUCACAAAUUUACCCAGCAAUGAAGCAUGUCCUUUUGGCAAACUUAUUUCGCAAACUCAUCCUCACCAUCACCAGGAACAGAAAUGAAAGAAAUCCAUAGAAACAUUGCCAAAGUAUAUAGUUUUCAGUAGAUUUUGAGUAGAUUUUCGAGAUUUUCUAGAAGUCAUAUUUCGCGAAUCCCCUCACAACAGAAAUACCUUGACCUUCGCAAGUUUGCUAAAUAAGUUGUCGUGAGUACGCCCAACAUUUAAAGCAUUUAUUCCAGUUAACAAGAAAUGGGGCCAGAUAAGGCCAUCGAGGAUGAAGGGAUUAACGCUAUGAAUUACUAUUAUGGAUUUCUCGUCUCUUCUUUUCUACUCCAUCAAUUGACCAGUUUCACCAUCUGUUUCGAAGAACACAUGUUCUGCGGCCACGUCCAAGCUAUUUUGCUGGAAAUGAACGCUGGCUUAGUUCUGCUUAUUUAUACGUGUCGGGUCAUCGUACACUGGGUGACGAAAAAGUGUAAGGAAAUUGAUUUUCAGAAAUCUUUGAAAAAUAACGAUGGAUCACUUACAUAUUUAUCUAAGUGUAGAGAAUAUGUAUGUAUUUAUUACAGCAAAAGUCUUCGUAAUGAAAGUUUUUGGUAAAAGGUUGCAGAACUCCAGGAGUUUUGACCUUUUAAUAUAUUUCUUAAUUACGCAGUAUCCAAACGAAGAAGACGCCGUCGCGAUGUGAGCAAUUCUGCAGGUCGAAGUUAUGAAUUAGGAAAACGCUUCAAUCAUCAAAAGUACCCAGAGGUCGUAGAUGCAACCGAUAUUGUGCAGUAUUUAGGAAUUUCAUCUACACAGAAAACCUUCAUCUAGAAAUAUCUCAAACGUUCUAAUGAACUUUAAAAAGUCCCACAGUUAAUCACUCCUCGUCAACUACAUAAACUAUGUCCCACCGCAAUAAGAUAACCUGCCACACGAAACUGACAAUGCAAGUCUUUUACAUGUACAACUCCGAUUUGGAUGAGACUGGCACCAAAAAAUCAAGCCAAAAAUUAGGAUGAACAUUUGGUUUGGCACUUUUUAUAAUGCUCAGGUUAUGACGAGAGAUGACGUGACGAAGUGACGAAAACGGGCCCGUGCGAGCCCCAUCUCACCGCUUCUCUCAUCCAUUGCUCUCUGACCUCCUCAUUGCUCCUCUCCUCCUUCUCGCUCGCUCGUUUUCACAACUUCAUGCGUUCUACAUUUUAUGACAU
Long non-coding RNA from Folsomia candida, 1354 nucleotides. RefSeq lists it as uncharacterized. The record is from RefSeq and is a predicted model, not a curated record. The transcript is spliced from 3 exons. Lineage: Eukaryota; Metazoa; Arthropoda; Collembola; Entomobryomorpha; Isotomidae.